Long non-coding RNA from Temnothorax curvispinosus, 1197 nucleotides. RefSeq lists it as uncharacterized. Lineage: Eukaryota; Metazoa; Arthropoda; Insecta; Hymenoptera; Formicidae. The record is from RefSeq and is a predicted model, not a curated record. The transcript is spliced from 5 exons.
UGACAACGUACGUAUUGACACGACCGUUAAUAAUUUUUGUCGUCGAGAAGAAAAUUUGAAGGUUUUUACUCGAGAUCGCACAUUUUAUAAACGAUUCAACUUAACCUAACCUAUUGUUCUGAUUGUGAGAACUCGAAGGAUUCGAGCUGGCUUGUCACGCCUAUACAUUGCCAAAGGUAAACCUAUUAAUUGUUCUGAUUGUGAGAACUCGAAGGAUUCGAGCUGGCUCGUCACGCCUAUACGUUGCCACAGGUAAAACCUUAUAUUGUUCUGAUUGUGAGAACUCGAAGGAUUCGAAGAUUAUUUUGCAACAUUUUCUUCCUGAAGAAUAUUUAAUUCACUUUAACAGUCUCAAUUGUGCUAUACGGAUAUUGUGCGAUCCCUGAAAUUGCUACAGAAACAACGCUUAUGCUAAAGAAUUGCUGAUUUAUUUUGUACAGCAAUUUAAGACGUUGUAUGGGGAGCAAUAUGUUUGUUGAAGCGAAUGAUACGAAAACACGCUAAUCUUUUGCAACAAAUUCAUCGACGACUAAUCGAAAAGUACAGUUACGAUCAACAUCCUCAAAAUAAGAAGAAUCAGAAGAUUUUGAAGCAUCCUAUACUCAAGAAGCCAAUUGUGUCAGAACUUCCUUUGGGUUGCCACAGCGAGCACCAAAUUCUACAAAUCCGCAUGUUUGAAUUAUCAAAUAAAAGGCCAGACAACUGUUGCUUCCUGACUGAUGCAACUAUCGUGAUGAUUAAGCACAUUGGAUUAAUGGAAAAUAAGAUUGUUGUUCUUGAUGCAGACUUUGUAGUAUUUUUUGACGACUUUUGUAAUCUCGUACCAGAAAAUUGGAUGGAUUUAGAAUCAAACAAAGUUUUUUGGCCUCCAAAACAGGUCAAAUUUAAUAAAAACAAAAUGCAUUAUCUACAUCCAAAAGAUGACUGGCUUAUAUACGAAUGCCGUAAACGUUUGGGACCUUUUGAGUCUUUUCAAUUAGCUAAUCAAGUAGAAGAGCACUGCAUGAACAUAUCUACAAAUAAAGAUACUGAUGACGUGUGACAAAGCUAUUAAGGCAUCUGAGGCACAAAAGAUACGAAAUAAGAGAAAGCCAGCAUGGCUUCGGAACGAAACGUUGGCGUCGGAAGAAGAAGUAGAAGAAGAAGUAGAAGAAGAGGAAGAAGAGGAAGAGGAGGAGGAGGAGGAGGAGGAAGAAG